GCGCCCUUAGCUCAGUUGGAUAGAGCAACAGCCUUCUAAGCUGUGGGUCGGUGGUUCGAGUCCACCAGGGCGCGCCA
Molecule: transfer RNA, 77 nt
Filed under: Acetobacteraceae bacterium
Lineage: Bacteria; Pseudomonadati; Pseudomonadota; Alphaproteobacteria; Acetobacterales; Acetobacteraceae
Also listed under: 4 other names
Description: tRNA-Arg
Rfam family: tRNA
About the family: Transfer RNA (tRNA) molecules are approximately 80 nucleotides in length.
Source: RNAcentral